GGGGGUGUUUUGGUUUUGACAGCGCCGGUGCAGGACGGUAAGCACGCCGGGCGUGGGAGCCUUGCCCGUUAAUCUCAGACUCCAAAAAAUCAGUUGCCAACAACAACUAUGCACUCGCUGCUUAAUUUGCUGGGCAAAUUAGCUUAAUCCGCCGCGCCAAGGUUGCGCCGCCGACGAGUAUCCCUCGGACUUUCCGCCCUGUAUAGUCCGGCCCAGGGGUAUCAUCCAGACAGGGACGCUCCGGCAGACGCCUUUAAAACCGGCUAAGAUUCAAAGGCUAAGGCUUUGGUGGCCCGCUUUCCGGCAGCCUCUCCCCUACAAUCAAAGGAAAGAUAAGCGUGUAGAAAGCCGCCAGGUGCGACGUUUGGACAGCGGUUCGAGUCCGCUCACCUCCACA
Molecule: transfer-messenger RNA, 397 nt
Filed under: bovine gut metagenome
Rfam family: transfer-messenger RNA
About the family: Bacterial tmRNA, also known as 10Sa RNA or SsrA, is named for its dual tRNA and mRNA-like properties. Its role is to liberate the mRNA from a stalled ribosome.
Source: RNAcentral